RNAcentral lists this ribosomal RNA (362 nucleotides) under uncultured bacterium. Its description in RNAcentral is "bacterial SSU rRNA". It matches the Rfam family "Bacterial small subunit ribosomal RNA", at positions 29 to 417 of the family's 1533-position model. The record is from RNAcentral.
AACGAACGCUGGCGGCAUGCCUAACACAUGCAAGUCGAACGAGACCUUCGGGUCUAGUGGCGCACGGGUGCGUAACGCGUGGGAAUCUGCCCUUGGGUUCGGAAUAACUUCGGGUAAACUGAAGCUAAUACCGGAUGAUGACGUAAGUCCAAAGAUUUAUCGCCCAAGGAUGAGCCCGCGUAGGAUUAGCUAGUUGGUGAGGUAAAGGCUCACCAAGGCGACGAUCCUUAGCUGGUCUGAGAGGAUGAUCAGCCACACUGGGACUGAGACACGGCCCAGACUCCUACGGGAGGCAGCAGUGGGGAAUUUUGGACAAUGGGCGCAAGCCUGAUCCAGCAAUGCCGCGUGCAGGAUGAAGGCCU